Molecule: ribosomal RNA, 515 nt
Filed under: uncultured bacterium
Lineage: Bacteria
Description: partial 16S ribosomal RNA
Rfam family: Bacterial small subunit ribosomal RNA
Source: RNAcentral
GAUGAACGCUGGCGGCGUGCCUAAUACAUGCAAGUCGAGCGAAUGGAUUAAGAGCUUGCUCUUAUGAAGUUAGCGGCGGACGGGUGAGUAACACGUGGGUAACCUGCCCAUAAGACUGGGAUAACUCCGGGAAACCGGGGCUAAUACCGGAUAACAUUUUGAACCGCAUGGUUCGAAAUUGAAAGGCGGCUUCGGCUGUCACUUAUGGAUGGACCCGCGUCGCAUUAGCUAGUUGGUGAGGUAACGGCUCACCAAGGCAACGAUGCGUAGCCGACCUGAGAGGGUGGUCGGCCACCCUGGGACUGAGACACGGACCAGACUCCUACGGGAGGCAGCAGUAGGGAAUCUUCCGCAAUGGACGAAAGUCUGACGGAGCAACGCCGCGUGAGUGAUGAAGGCUCUCGGGUCGUAAAACUCUGUUGUUAGGGAAGAACAAGUGCUAGUUGAAUGAGCUGGCACCUUGACGGUACCUAACCAGAAAGCCACGGCUAACUACGUGCCAGCCGCCGCGGUAA